CCUGUUCGAGCGUCAUUUCAACCCUCAAGCGCUGCUUGGUAUUGGGUGUCACCGCCUAGGUGCACCCUAAAAUCAGUGGCGGAGCUGUUCGGCUUCCAGCGUAGUAAACUUCUCGCUGUGGAGACGGGCACGCCCCACGCCAGCAACCUCUAUAACUCCAGGUUGACCUCGGAUCAGGUAGGGAUACCCGCUGAACUUAA
This 200-nucleotide unclassified non-coding RNA is filed under the name soil metagenome. RNAcentral describes it as "partial contains internal transcribed spacer 2 and large subunit ribosomal RNA". The record is from RNAcentral.